UACAGAGGUCUCAAGCGUUGUUCGGAUUCAUUGGGUCGUAAAGGGUGCGUAGGUGGCGGGGUAAGUCAGGUGUGAAAUCUCGAGGCUCAACCUCGGAAACUGCACUUGAUACUGCCUUGCUCGAGUACUGGAGAGGAGAUUGGAAUUUACGGUGUAGCAGUGAAAUGCGUAGAUAUCGUAAGGAAGACCAGUGGCGAAGGCGAAUCUCUGGACAGUUACUGACACUGAGGCACGAAGGCCAGGGGGAGCAAACGGG
RNAcentral lists this ribosomal RNA (256 nucleotides) under uncultured bacterium. RNAcentral's name for it is "partial 16S ribosomal RNA". It matches the Rfam family "Bacterial small subunit ribosomal RNA", at positions 524 to 776 of the family's 1533-position model. The record is from RNAcentral.